AGCUGCGCAGAGGUAGCUGAGAUAAAUGUCCUGACUGCGCUGAGAAGACCCAAAUUCCACUUAAGGCUUUCCCCUCCGUAGCGUGGCUGAAUUGCCACUAAAGCUCAUUUUCUGCCGAAGCAGGUUUUCCAGCGUUGUCAACCAUUAUUGUUGUGCUGUAAAUUUUCAGGAAAAAUGCAGAUGGCAACAUAUAUACCCUACUCCCUCCCUCUUGGUAACAUGUGCAUGAUUCAACAAAACAUGUUAUGUGUAUGCUUGUGGUUGGUGUUCCUACU
This 275-nucleotide long non-coding RNA is filed under the name Salvia miltiorrhiza (redroot sage). Its description in RNAcentral is "long non-coding RNA (SMIL_LNC011694)". Lineage: Eukaryota; Viridiplantae; Streptophyta; Magnoliopsida; Lamiales; Lamiaceae. The record is from RNAcentral.